RNAcentral lists this ribosomal RNA (442 nucleotides) under Pelobates cultripes (western spadefoot toad). RNAcentral's name for it is "SSU_rRNA_microsporidia". It matches the Rfam family "Eukaryotic small subunit ribosomal RNA", at positions 60 to 473 of the family's 1831-position model. Lineage: Eukaryota; Metazoa; Chordata; Amphibia; Anura; Pelobatidae. The record is from RNAcentral.
GUUGCGGUGGCGAUGUAGGUGGAAGCAGCGGUGGAAGAGGAGGAUGAGGUAGCCAACACUGUUUUAUAUAUAUAUAUAUAUAUAUAUAUAUAUAUAUAUAUAUAUUUUUUUUUUUUUUUUAUUGGGGUAGCCCCAAAAUAUUGGGAGAUAUAAAAAAGACAACUCUGUUCCGCAGAGUAGCUGUUGACAUUAUAGUUGCGCAGGCACUUUGUUGACUCUAGAGAACCUCGGGCCAAUCGCACAUCCCCGUGACGGCGACUUUGCAUUCGGAUGUCAUCCAUAUCAACUUUCGAUGCCAGUUUCUGCGCCUACCAUGGUGACCACGGGUAACGGGGAAUCAGGGUUCCAUUCCGUACAGGGACCCUGAGAAACGGCUACCACAUGCAAGGAAGGCAGCAGGCGUGCAAAUGACCCACUCCUGACGCGGGAAGGUAGUGACGAC